This 322-nucleotide unclassified non-coding RNA is filed under the name Hevea brasiliensis (rubber tree). Lineage: Eukaryota; Viridiplantae; Streptophyta; Magnoliopsida; Malpighiales; Euphorbiaceae. The record is from RNAcentral.
UUAUGAAGCUUUGGCUAGUGAUGUUACUGCCAUUAGAGAUGCUGCAGUUUCCGAGAUCGCCAAGCUCUCUCUUCGUUCCUUCAAUCCUGACCCGCUUCCAGUUCAAUCUACACCAGACACUAGCAAUCGGAAGUCCCAAGAUAAGCAAGAGGCCUAGCCAAUAACAGGAAUUCUUGUUUUUCUAUUGAGCAUGUUGAAAUUUGUUGUGCCUACUCAAAAGUUCUAAGGAUCGGUUACAACGGAUUGGAGUUUUACAUCAUUUGUUACGCUGAUAUAGGAUGAUCAAUUUUACAUAAUACAUUCCCAUUUUGCUGUCCUUUUU